UUACGUCCAUACUACGAUGAAACACCGGUUCUCGUCUGAUCAUGGAAUUUAAGCAACAUCGAACCUGGUCAGUACCUAGAGGGUGACCGAAUGGGAAUAUCAGUUACUGUAAG
Molecule: non-coding RNA, 113 nt
Organism: Acanthosepion pharaonis
Lineage: Eukaryota; Metazoa; Mollusca; Cephalopoda; Sepiida; Sepiidae
Source: the annotation of a GenBank genome assembly